GCCUACCAUGCAGUCGAGCGGAACGACACUAACAAUCCUUCGGGUGCGUUAAUGGGCGUCGAGCGGCGGACGGGUGAGUAAUGCCUAGGAAAUUGCCUUGAUGUGGGGGAUAACCAUUGGAAACGAUGGCUAAUACCGCAUAAUGCCUACGGGCCAAAGAGGGGGAUCUUCGGACCUCUCGCGUCAAGAUAUGCCUAGGUGGGAUUAGCUAGUUGGUGAGGUAAUGGCUCACCAAGGCGACGAUCCCUAGCUGGUCUGAGAGGAUGAUCAGCCACACUGGAACUGAGACACGGUCCAGACUCCUACGGGAGGCAGCAGUGGGGAAUAUUGCACAAUGGGCGAAAGCCUGAUGCAGCCAUGCCGCGUGUAUGAAGAAGGCCUUCGGGUUGUAAAGUACUUUCAGUUGUGAGGAAGGGUGUGUAGUUAAUAGCUGCGCAUCUUGACGUUAGCAACAGAAGUAAGCACCGGCUAACUCCGUGCCAGCAGCCGCGGUAAUACGGAGGGUGCGAGCGUUAAUCGGAAUUACUGGGCGUAAAGCGCAUGCAGGUGGUUCAUUAAGUCNGAUGUGAAAGCCCGGGGCUCAACCUCNGAACUGCAUUUGANACUGGUGAACUACAGUGCUGUA
RNAcentral lists this ribosomal RNA (625 nucleotides) under Vibrio sp. Its description in RNAcentral is "bacterial SSU rRNA". It matches the Rfam family "Bacterial small subunit ribosomal RNA", at positions 46 to 653 of the family's 1533-position model. The record is from RNAcentral. Lineage: Bacteria; Pseudomonadati; Pseudomonadota; Gammaproteobacteria; Vibrionales; Vibrionaceae.